GGAAAGCUGUGGCUAGGUGGUAGAGCAUCAGCUUGGCAUGCAGAAGGCCCCAGGUUCAAUUCCUAAUAUCUCCA
This 74-nucleotide transfer RNA is filed under the name Sphaerodactylus townsendi. RNAcentral's name for it is "tRNA-Ala". Lineage: Eukaryota; Metazoa; Chordata; Lepidosauria; Squamata; Sphaerodactylidae. The record is from RNAcentral.